CCCCGGUCUCACCAAUCAGGCUGCUCUCCGGUUGACUAAAGGCUGAGCAGAGUGUAUUCGGUGUCAGACACUGGCGGUGACUCCGCCUUCACUCUCACUCAUCCGGCUGGCAGACCCUGUCCCCAGCCCGGGACUCGCCAUGCGCUGCCCGCCUCUCCCACUGCCCCUGAUAUUGCUCCUUGGUUCUACACUCCUGCCAGGCUUUGCGGAGAACGUGAAGACAGGAGACGCAACAGGUGCCCUUGAGCUGCAGACCAAUGACAUUGAAGAUCUGAACCACAUUAAAACCCGUUUUUUGCUGCGAAGACCUUCAGCACCCUCUGAGGAUGACUGUUGUAUCAUUGCAGGCCACACCGACUCUCUGGCCAGUUGCAAUUUCAACGCCAGUAGCAAGACUUUCUUCAUUAUCCACGGAUGGAGUGUGACCGGGAUGUUUGAGACAUGGAUUGAAAAGCUGGUGGUGGCUCUGUACCAAAGGGAGCCUGACUCUAAUGUCCUUGUCGUGGAUUGGCUCAAUCGUGCUCACCAGCACUACCCAAUUGCAGCCCAGAAUACUCAGCUGGUUGGACAAGACAUUGCCAAGCUCAUCAACUGGUUGGAGAAACAAGUGAGAGUUCCAACUAGCAAGAUGCACCUAGUCGGCUACAGCCUGGGUGCGCAUGUGGCGGGUUUUGCAGGAAGUCACAUAGGCCACAAAAUUGGCAGGAUUACAGGGCUGGAUCCGGCAGGGCCGGUGUUCGAGGGGGUCCACGCUGAGGAGCGCCUGUCCCCGGAUGAUGCCAUUUUUGUUGAUGUCAUCCACACCUUCACGAGGCAGUCUCUGGGGCUGAGUAUUGGGAUCCGACAGCCCGUGGGACACGUUGACAUCUACCCAAAUGGAGGCCACUCUCAACCAGGCUGUGACCUACAGAGGGCCGUGAACAACAUUGCCAUGUAUGGUAUUUAUGCAUUCUCGGAAGCUGUGAAGUGUGAGCACGAGAGAUCCAUCCACCUUUUCAUCGACUCCUUGCUGCACAGUGAUCAGCCAUGCAUGGCGUUUCGCUGCAGCAACCACCACUCCUUCGAGAAAGGCAUAUGUCUGAGCUGCCGCAAGAAUCGAUGCAAUACGCUGGGCUACGGUGUGACACGGAUCUGCAACAAGAGGGCCAGCAAGAUGUACCUGAGGACCAGAGCUGAGAUGCCUUUCCGAGUUUAUCACUAUCAACUGAAGAUUCACUUCUCCAGCGGGAUUACCCACUUCGACAUCGAUCCCACGCUGUCUGUAUCUCUUCAUGGGACCAAGGGUGAUGCUGAGAACCUUCACAUUGAAACAGUGGAGAGGUUUUCACCCAACAAGACCCAUUCGUUCCUGGUGAUUACCGAGGUCGACAUUGGAGACCUGCUGUUGAUAAAGUUCAGGUGGGAAUCAUCCCUAACCUGGAAUUCCCUGUGGAAAAGGAUGAAGAAUUCCAUUUACUGGUACAAGCUGCCACUCUGGAGCACCUCGAUCCAUUCCGAUUCCAACUUUCAGAUCCACAGGAUCCGUGUGAAGUCUGGAGAAACACAGAAAAAGAAGGUCUUCUGUUUGAAGGAUUCCUCUGCCAGGAUUGUCCCAUCUCAGGAAGCCAUUUUUGUGAGCUGCCCAGUCGUUCCGGAGUCAGCACCACCAACGAGAGACACAACAGGAUAACAUUGGCCCUUCCAGCCCAAUGAGCCCCUGCUGCCCAGUUACACCCAAAUGACCAAUGUACGUCUUUGGAAUGUGGGAGGAACCUGGAGCACCCAAAGGAAACCCAUGCGGUCAUAGGGAAAACGUACAAACUCCAUAGGACAAUGUGCCCAUGGUCAGAAGCACUGAGAGACGUGGCUGGGGGCAUCAACCAGACUAAACCUGCACCACUGGAAUCGGCUCCAACAAGCGGCAGCUGUUCACACAAUAACCCAGCCUUGCUGUUUACUUUUUGUGAUGGUAUUUAUUUGUAUAUAUUGUAAAUACCUUGUACAAUAGCUACAUAGACCCAAUGAGCCUAUCUAUUGGACAUUGCUUGCAUUGUAUAUUGCCAGAAUAAUGGCCUUUUUGUUAAUGUGUUAUGGUAGCUGAAGACCUUGAUAACUCAGUGACUUGCCCUGUACUCCAGGAUUUAUGCUUCCUUCCUGGAUUAUAUUUGCUUAAUAUUGGCUUCCAAUUCCUCUCCAACUCUGUCCUUCUCUGGCCUGAUCCCCGCUCCACACAACCCUUGUGCAAUCUCCAAAAGCCUGCCAGCAUGACCAACUCUCAUUCCCUCUCAGACUCCCACUCACUCGAGUCCGAUCCUCCCAACCUUCAGCCUGUCUCUGUUCCACCCCACUCCAUGCCUCUCCUCUACCCUCCCACCUAACACUACAGUCCACAGCACCUGCUAAUGCUGACCACACAGUUUCUGGAGGUGUCCAACGUGUAUGGUGUUCCAGGGCUGGAACAGGACUACAAACUUCUCCACAGACGAUGAAGAUCACUGACGUAUGGAUUGUCCCUACUGAAGACCCUACUGUGUUGAGAAUACUGCAAGGAAUGGUGGACCCUGUGCAGCAGGCCGGCUUUCUACUGGCAGCACUGGGAUGGCAAGAGUGACAUCUGAUGGAUCAAGCACGACACCUCUGAGUGGAGAGCGGUGGAGAGCGGAAAGUCAAAGAUCCAUAGGCUGUACUGGUGAUAUCAGAUCCACGGGGUGUACUGGGGAAUUUCAGAUCCACGGGCUGUACUGGGGGAUAUCAGAUCCACUGGCUCUACUGGGGGUAUCAGAUCCACAGGCUGUACUGGUGAUAUCAGAUCUACGGGCUUUACUGGUGAUAUCAGAUCCACGGGCUGUACUGGGGGAUAUCAGAUCCAACGUCGGUACUGGGGGAUAUCAGAUCCACGGGGUGUACUGGGGUGUAUCAGGUCCAUGGACUGUACUGGGGGUAUCAGAUCCACGGGGUGUACUGGGGAAUUUCAGAUCCACGGGCUGUACUGGGUAAUCAGAUGCACGUGGUGUACAGGGGAUAUCAGAUCCACAGGCUGUACUGGUGAUAUCAGAUCCAUGGGCUUUACUGGUGAUAUCAGAUCCACGGGCUGUACUGGGGGAUAUCAGAUCCACGGGCUGUACUGGUGAUAUCAGAACCACGGGGUUUACUGAUGAUAUCAGAUCCACGGGGUGUACUAGGGUGUAUCAGGUCCACGGGCUGUACUGGGGGUAUCAGAUCCACGGGGUGUACUGGGGAAUUUCAGAUCCACAGGCUGUACUGGUGAUAUCAGAUCCACGGGGUGUACUUGGGAAUAUCCGAUCCACGGGCUGUACUGGGGGAUAUCAGAUCCACGGGCUGUACUGGGGGUAUCAGAUCCACGGGGUGUACUGGCGAUAUCAGAUCCACGGGCUGUACUGGGGGUAUCAGAUCCACAGGCUGUACUGUUGAUAUCAGAUCCACGGGCUGUACUGGUGAUACCAGAUCCACGGGCUGUACUGGGGUAUCAAAUCCACGGGCUGUACUGGUGAUAUCAGAUCCACGGGUUGUACUGGGGGAUAUCAGAUCCAGGGGCUGUACUGGGGGAUAUCAGAUCCACGGGCUGUACUGGGGGAUAUCAGAUCCAACGUCGGUACUGGGGGAUAUCAGAUCCACGGGGUGUACUGGGGUGUAUCAGGUCCAUGGACUGUACUGGGGGUAUCAGAUCCACGGGGUGUACUGGGGAAUU
Mobula hypostoma (lesser devil ray) is the source of this 3688-nucleotide RNA transcript. It is a transcript of the gene named lipoprotein lipase-like, with no coding region annotated. Lineage: Eukaryota; Metazoa; Chordata; Chondrichthyes; Myliobatiformes; Myliobatidae. The transcript has 11 exons. The record is from RefSeq and is a predicted model, not a curated record.